Molecule: ribosomal RNA, 495 nt
Filed under: uncultured bacterium
Lineage: Bacteria
Description: partial 16S ribosomal RNA
Rfam family: Bacterial small subunit ribosomal RNA
Source: RNAcentral
GACGAACGCUGGCGGCGUGCCUAAUACAUGCAAGUAGAACGCUGAAGGAGGAGCUUGCUUCUCUGGAUGAGUUGCGAACGGGUGAGUAACGCGUAGGUAACCUGCCUGGUGGCGGGGGAUAACUAUUGGAAACGAUAGCUAAUACCGCAUAAGAGUAGAUGUUGCAUGACAUUUGCUUAAAAGGUGCAAUUGCAUCACUGCCAGAUGGACCUGCGUUGUAUUAGCUAGUUGGUGGGGUAACGGCUUACCAAGGCGACGAUACAUAGCCGACCUGAGAGGGUGAUCGGCCACACUGGGACUGAGACACGGCCCAGACUCCUACGGGAGGCAGCAGUAGGGAAUCUUCGGCAAUGGACGGAAGUCUGACCGAGCAACGCCGCGUGAGUGAAGAAGGUUUUCGGAUCGUAAAGCUCUGUUGUAAGAGAAGAACGAGUGUGAGAGUGGAAAGUUCACACUGUGACGGUAUCUUACCAGAAAGGGACGGCUAACUACGUG